RNAcentral lists this ribosomal RNA (1447 nucleotides) under uncultured organism. Its description in RNAcentral is "partial small subunit ribosomal RNA". It matches the Rfam family "Bacterial small subunit ribosomal RNA". The record is from RNAcentral.
GACGAACGCUGGCGGCGUGCUUAACACAUGCAAGUCGAACGGAAAGGCCCUGCUUUUGUGGGGUGCUCGAGUGGCGAACGGGUGAGUAACACGUGAGUAACCUGCCCUUGACUUUGGGAUAACUUCAGGAAACUGGGGCUAAUACCGGAUAGGAGCUCCUGCUGCAUGGUGGGGGUUGGAAAGUUUCGGCGGUUGGGGAUGGACUCGCGGCUUAUCAGCUUGUUGGUGGGGUAGUGGCUUACCAAGGCUUUGACGGGUAGCCGGCCUGAGAGGGUGACCGGCCACAUUGGGACUGAGAUACGGCCCAGACUCCUACGGGAGGCAGCAGUGGGGAAUAUUGCACAAUGGGCGGAAGCCUGAUGCAGCAACGCCGCGUGCGGGAUGACGGCCUUCGGGUUGUAAACCGCUUUCGCCUGUGACGAAGCGUGAGUGACGGUAAUGGGUAAAGAAGCACCGGCUAACUACGUGCCAGCAGCCGCGGUGAUACGUAGGGUGCGAGCGUUGUCCGGAUUUAUUGGGCGUAAAGGGCUCGUAGGUGGUUGAUCGCGUCGGAAGUGUAAUCUUGGGGCUCAACCCUGAGCGUGCUUUCGAUACGGGUUGACUUGAGGAAGGUAGGGGAGAAUGGAAUUCCUGGUGGAGCGGUGGAAUGCGCAGAUAUCAGGAGGAACACCAGUGGCGAAGGCGGUUCUCUGGGCCUUUCCUGACGCUGAGGAGCGAAAGCGUGGGGAGCGAACAGGCUUAGAUACCCUGGUAGUCCACGCUGUAAACGGUGGGUACUAGGUGUGGGGUCCAUUCCACGGGUUCCGUGCCGUAGCUAACGCUUUAAGUACCCCGCCUGGGGAGUACGGCCGCAAGGCUAAAACUCAAAGGAAUUGACGGGGCCCCGCACAAGCGGCGGAGCAUGCGGAUUAAUUCGAUGCAACGCGUAGAACCUUACCUGGGUUUGACAUGGAUCGGGAGUGCUCAGAGAUGGGUGUGCCUCUUUUGGGGUCGGUUCACAGGUGGUGCAUGGCUGUCGUCAGCUCGUGUCGUGAGAUGUUGGGUUAAGUCCCGCAACGAGCGCAACCCUUGUUCACUGUUGCCAGCACGUUAUGGUGGGGACUCAGUGGAGACCGCCGGGGUCAACUCGGAGGAAGGUGGGGAUGACGUCAAGUCAUCAUGCCCCUUAUGUCCAGGGCUUCACGCAUGCUACAAUGGCUGGUACAGAGAGUGGCGAGCCUGUGAGGGUGAGCGAAUCUCGGAAAGCCGGUCUCAGUUCGGAUUGGGGUCUGCAACUCGACCUCAUGAAGUCGGAGUCGCUAGUAAUCGCAGAUCAGCAACGCUGCGGUGAAUACGUUCCCGGGGCUUGUACACACCGCCCGUCAAGUCAUGAAAGUUGGUAACACCCGAAGCCGGUGGCCUAACCGUUGUGGGGGAGCCGUCGAAGGUGGGACUGGUGAUUAGGACU